CAGCAGCCGCGGUAAUACGAAGGGUGCAAGCGUUAAUCGGAAUUACUGGGCGUAAAGCGUGUGUAGGUGGUUGUUUAAGUCUGUCGUGAAAGCCCUGGGCUCAACCUGGGAAUUGCGAUGGAUACUGGGCGACUAGAGUGCGGUAGAGGUUAGUGGAAUUUCCGGUGUAGCAGUGAAAUGCGCAGAGAUCGGAAGGAACAUCUGUGGCGAAGGCGACUAUCUGGGCCAACACUGACACUGAGACACGAAAGCGUGGGGAGCAAACAGGAUUAGAUACCCGUGUAGUCCCUGUCUCUUAUAC
RNAcentral lists this ribosomal RNA (301 nucleotides) under uncultured bacterium. RNAcentral's name for it is "partial 16S ribosomal RNA". It matches the Rfam family "Bacterial small subunit ribosomal RNA", at positions 509 to 807 of the family's 1533-position model. The record is from RNAcentral.